UGCUCAGGAUGAACGCUGGCGGCGUGCUUAACACAUGCAAGUCGAACGGUGAAGCCAAGCUUGCUUGGUGGAUCAGUGGCGAACGGGUGAGUAACACGUGAGCAACCUGCCCUGGACUCUGGGAUAAGCGCUGGAAACGGCGUCUAAUACUGGAUAUGAGCCUCUUCCGCAUGGUGGGGGUUGGAAAGAUUUUUUGGUCUGGGAUGGGCUCGCGGCCUAUCAGCUUGUUGGUGAGGUAAUGGCUCACCAAGGCGUCGACGGGUAGCCGGCCUGAGAGGGUGACCGGCCACACUGGGACUGAGACACGGCCCAGACUCCUACGGGAGGCAGCAGUGGGGAAUAUUGCACAAUGGGCGAAAGCCUGAUGCAGCAACGCCGCGUGAGGGAUGACGGCCUUCGGGUUGUAAACCUCUUUUAGCAGGGAAGAAGCGAAAGUGACGGUACCUGCAGAAAAAGCGCCGGCUAACUACGUGCCAGCAGCCGCGGUAAUACGUAGGGCGCAAGCGUUAUCCGGAAUUAUUGGGCGUAAAGAGCUCGUAGGCGGUUUGUCGCGUCUGCUGUGAAAUCCCGAGGCUCAACCUCGGGCCUGCAGUGGGUACGGGCAGACUAGAGUGCGGUAGGGGAGAUUGGAAUUCCUGGUGUAGCGGUGGAAUGCGCAGAUAUCAGGAGGAACACCGAUGGCGAAGGCAGAUCUCUGGGCCGUAACUGACGCUGAGGAGCGAAAGGGUGGGGAGCAAACAGGCUUAGAUACCCUGGUAGUCCACCCCGUAAACGUUGGGAACUAGUUGUGGGGACCAUUCCACGGUUUCCGUGACGCAGCUAACGCAUUAAGUUCCCCGCCUGGGGAGUACGGCCGCAAGGCUAAAACUCAAAGGAAUUGACGGGGACCCGCACAAGCGGCGGAGCAUGCGGAUUAAUUCGAUGCAACGCGAAGAACCUUACCAAGGCUUGACAUACACCAGAACGGGCCAGAAAUGGUCAACUCUUUGGACACUGGUGAACAGGUGGU
This 1009-nucleotide ribosomal RNA is filed under the name Microbacterium lacticum. RNAcentral describes it as "bacterial SSU rRNA". It matches the Rfam family "Bacterial small subunit ribosomal RNA", at positions 21 to 1042 of the family's 1533-position model. Lineage: Bacteria; Bacillati; Actinomycetota; Actinomycetes; Micrococcales; Microbacteriaceae. The record is from RNAcentral.